This 3352-nucleotide unclassified non-coding RNA is filed under the name Hevea brasiliensis (rubber tree). The record is from RNAcentral. Lineage: Eukaryota; Viridiplantae; Streptophyta; Magnoliopsida; Malpighiales; Euphorbiaceae.
UGCACCAUAAGAUGGUUUAAAUUCUUUUGCGGUACUGGCUUUUGCUAAAAAAAAAUGUUAUCCAUCAAAAUGGAUUAUUUUAAGAAGCUGAAUCUGAGCAAAUAAUGUACACUGUAACACUGGUAUUAUUUACAGCAGAACAUAAAUUGGUAUAUAUUUGGUCUAUUAAUGCAGACUUGGUAUCCCAAUAGAACUAAAUGGUGAAAAUGUAUCUAUAAAAUCGACCUCAACUAGUUUAGGAUUAAGGCCCUAUUACAUGAGCUUUCUCACAUCAACAUCAUCGACUCCUCUGACAUUAUAGCUAAUAAUGAAUACUUCACUUUGAUUGAGAUUCUACCACCUUCUACACACAGCUUGGCACCAGUGACCACCCAGUAUCCAGGCGCGUCAUCUGGACCCCUCACGAUUUCCUUUGUGUCCACAAAGUUUGACAUUUUUGGUGCCCUUGUUGGCGAGGGUGGAUCUCCAUGAAAAACUGCAGAAUUCACAUCCACUUUCACUGGCUUUUCUGGUGGUGGAUUCAGACCAGCACUGAACCUUGUGCUGAUCAACAUUGAGAUGACCCCCGAUUUCCGCGGCAAAGUUGAAGGUCCAUCCCAUUCUGAUCUGCGGAUCCUUGCUGAUGCCACCAUUGAGAAUCCAAGCCUCAGGAACAAAACUUUCUUCAUCCCAAUUAUCUUAACCUCAAACCAGGCCCUUGACACAAUAGAAGCAGAGUCAUCAAUGUGGGGGCCAUUGUAACGCACUGGGGCAGUACACACAUGGGAAAAUAUGCUACAUUUAACAGGUUCGACGUAGCCUCGUUCCACAGGUUCCUCGAUGGUCUCAUAUCUAUGAUCAUCUGAGAGUUGGAGAAUACUGGGAAGAAUCGAAAGAUGCUGGAGAUGGAUAGCCAAACGGUCACUUCUCUUUCCUUCCAAAUAUAAACGGAUUCCUGUCACUGGCCGAUUUCCAGAAUCCACCUGUAAUGCAUGGAUUUAUUAACCAAAAAAAUGGUAAGAGGACAAUCAAAUUCUAUAAUAGAAAUAAACAUAUUUGCAGAGUUUGAAGAUAAAAUAACUAGACAGCCAUAGCAGGGCCUUCUCACAUACUAAGGCGAUGAAGAGUUAGAGGCUAUAAAAAUCCUUAAACAAUAACCUAAAUAUUUCUUUAAAUUCCUUUCCUUUUUUUUUUUUUGGUGAUGGGCUUGCUAAUGUGUUUCAGCAGUAAACUUUAGGCUCGUUAAAGGAAUAAUUCAAAGGUCCUAAUAGCACCAUCACCUAAAGCAGUUUGAUUUAGAUCAUAGAACCAGUGGUAUUUCUUUGGUGCAGUACAGAAUCACCUGCAUGGUGUUGACGUAAAGCUUAGGGCCCAUAAAGGUAAACUGGAGAGAUGGGGAUGCUUGCUUUCUGCGCUCAAGAGUAAGAGGUAGAUCACCAUAUUCUGGAGCCCACUGCCGAGGUAACUGAAACUCUAAAAACUGAUGGAGUUCCUCUAUGGACGGUUUGUCUGCAAGAUUUCACUAGACAUCAAACUACUAGCAUUGCAAAAUAGAAGAUAUGAUGAAAGUUAAAUGCAACAAUUUUCAGAUCAUAAUGCACCUGGCAUUGGCUAAAUCCAUAUGAUCAUUCCUAGUGGGCUACAACAUCUGUAACAGUUCAUGAAAAAAACUGUACAUCGUAACAUCUAGAGAUGCAAGCAUUGAUUGGUUAAGCAAUCGCAACCAAACAAGACUGAUUCUGCCAACUGACUGUUAAAAAGCACUGAGGCUGAAUGUUAGAUCUUAGGCUAAGAAGUAUGAGUAACUGCAUCAAACAUGCCAGCAACAAUCUAGAAAUAGGAUUUGCCUCAAAUCUGCCUCGAGUAUCUACAGUAGUGUGACAUGUGAUAUAUACUUCAUUUAGUUUAUAAAAGGAACUACAUAUAAUUCAUUGAAUUCAGGAUUGUGCCAUGGAUGGAUCACCCAUGUCAUACAGAGACCAAAAUAACAGCUGAGGGAUGCUACGCACAUCGAAGGUAAAGAUUGACUGCAUGACUUAAAAAUCCAUUGCCUCGGACACCACCUAAAAGAGAAGUUAUAGGCACAAAGGACAUUGAAAUGACAUUUGGUGACUGUGAUAUUGUGGGGAGCCACUGACAAUGACUUUGACCAAUAUCUACACCUCCCCUUCGAACAGAAAUGCUCAGUAUAUCCUCAUUUUUUAUGGGAGUAAUGACAGUUGGCCCCAUUGAGGUGGCAAAUCCACAGGGAUCACAUAACACAGAAUGUUCAUCUUCCUUAUCGGAAAACCUCUCGUCAGCUACUUGCUUUAACAAUUUCUGUAUUUCAGGAGGCUGAGCAUUUGAUUUUUGUAAUUGCUUUAUGUGUAUUACAUCUUUACCACCCAUCUUUACUCCAACAACGAUAUGAGUACCAUAUUUCUCAAUGAAUUCAGCAAGGGCAGCAGCAUCCCAAGAAGUAGGCACUUCUUGUUUCAGCUGCUCGGACAAGGCUAAAUGGGAUCUUUCCACCUCUAUAUUAUAUAGAGUUAUGAACCAACCAUCAUAAGCAAGAUUUUUUGCAGAAGCUGCAUCUUUCUGCCAGCUUCCCUUGAAGUCAAACAUGGCAUUAAAUAUUCCUGAGGGAAUUUUACCUGACAAAGAAAGAUCCUGAUUGAACUUUUCCGACAUCUGCACAUAGAGUAAGAGAACAACAACAAGUUACAACAAGGUUCACCAUAAUCAUUACAUCCCAAAUAUAGUAAAAGAAAAAGCUAUGAUGAUAAAUUUAAAUAAAUGGGUUCUCCUAAUUUCUGUAAUAUAUACUUACCAAAAAUCACGAUCAGCUUAAUUAGCAUCAUCAUUAUUAUCAAGUACUGAGUUUACCAGAGCACAAACCAAACACUUGAAAAAAGGAAACGAAAAGGCAUCAACUUUUUCAUCCCAAUUCAUCACUUGCUUGAAAAAUCACAUCUUUUACCUGAUUAAAAGAGAGAAAACCAGAACGGAACCUAGUACGCUCCCCCUUAUCACACUUGAUUCGAGUGGAAACGUUUCUAACAACAAUCCCGCCAGGAACGACAAGUUCUCGAGUAAGAGUUGGGUCAAGCUCGAUCAAUCUCGACCCGGAAGGACCCGGUUUGCAAGCAGACAAUCUGACAUCUCUAGUCAAAUCGUAGCCAAACCCAAUAACGGAGAUGGCCUUCUCCGCGGCGGAUUGAGGGUCGAGGCGAUGAAGAGCCAUUAGACGGGAAUGACAGAGAGCACCAAGUGGGUUAGGCAAGUUAUUGGUGAGGCUCAUAGCCAGUGGUGGAGUUGUAACAGUGGAAGAGAAGACCCAUUGAAGUGGUCUUCGCACUUUGGUAUAGUGACAUGUUCAGAGGUCUCUGCCUUC